CUCUCUCUCUCUCUUUUCACUGUCCCUCUGUCCCUCUCCCCACUCGCUCUCUCUCUAAAAUAAAAACAUAAAAAAAAAAAAGAAUUACGAUUCGUUCCUAAUGUAUUUUUUACUUUUUAUUUCAACCUAAAGAAAGGGGAGGCGCAGUAGAGGUCAUUAUGUUGUUAAUAAAUGAGUUAACAUACCUGCCCUUUUCUUAGUGGCUGACCUCCCCUUCUGGGUUUUUUGCUUUAGGAAACUAUCCAAUCUGCAGACAAAAUUUGUCUACACUGAAGUCUGCUGGAAGCCAUGCUGAUUACUAGAAAGGCAGGAAUCUUCCCUAGAAGGGAUUCCGAGUGGAAGGUCACUCUGAGACACCUGUGUCAUUAGACAGGGUCUAGCAUCGUCCCCCGGUGGGGCUGCGCAUGGCCCCCCCUCCCCGUGCAGAGGACCCAGCCUGGAUGGGGCUGUCGCACCUGCCACACGUGCUCUGGCUUCCACGUCACCCGUUUUCACCUUUGGGCGUACUGCAGAUGGAAUUGGGAUAAAAGCCUAACAGAUGACUUUCUAUCCCCUUGACUUAUUGCAAAAGUCACGAUUUCCUUCAAAUCCGGCUGCAAAACGGCACUUAUUUUAAUGGUUGUUUCCUGAAAUCAGAUAUCCUCUACAUUCCUCGAAAAUAAAUUAUUUUAAAUGGCUGCAAGAAGCCUUAGAUGACAUUCUAAAGAGCAUUCCUAGAUACCAAAGGAGUGGUCAUCACUUGAAAUGUGUCCCCUAAAAGGCGUGGGCCGAUCAGGGAGGUGCCAGCAACUGUCCCUUUCACCUUUGUCAUCUGGGCCAGUUAUCAGGAAGCACCCAAUCUUCCCUUUCACUUUUAAAAUGCCCUGGAUUGGACGACAGAUUGGUCACACUCCAAGUAACCAAACUGGGUGGGAUGGUGUGGGGUCUGAGGGUCAGCCAGUGUGACAGCGGACCCAGGAAUUAACAAGACGAAGCCGACGUUGGGAUUAGAACAGUGGUUCCCACACAGAAAAUCUGAGCAGGGCCACAGGAGAGGGCACACGGUAUCUUUUUGCCUGCAUGCUAACCCCUAAAUGGCGGUAAGGGUGCACCCCUAAAACUAGAAAAUUAAACACAGAAGUUCAAAGAUCCAUUUCCCUCAUCUUACAAAUGAGAGAGAACAGGUUAUAUGUUAUCAAUUCUAUAAACUUAAAGUCAAAAAUUUCUACCGAACUUUAUCAAAUAAGCAAUAAUAUCUGUAGUUAUUUUCAUCAUAAUGAAACCUCUUCUGAUUCUUAGAGAGAGAGAGAGAGAGAGAGAGAGGGAGACCUCAGAGAGGAGAAUGAAUUUCUCUAAACCCCCAGAGCCAGUUCCUGUCAGCGUGGGGACUUGAGCCCAGCCCUCACUGCACUUGGCCAGUGCGUUUCUACUCGAUCUUGCCCUCCUCUCUUCAUUGUAUAAAGGAUUUGGUGAUAUCUAGAGGAGUUGGGGCCUUUAAAAAAAAAAAAAAAAAAAGUCGCUCUGGCCUUAUUAGAGACCAUCUGGUUGUUCCCCAACUCUCCUCUGUCACUGCCCUGCAUCUUGACCACACGCACAGCAUGUUACAUGCACUGCAGGGGGGCCCCACCGGGCACUCAUGGGCUUGGUGCCACGGCUCUCAGAACCUGAAAAGCCCUUUAACUGGUUCCGCGAGUGAGUGACUCAGAUAUCCCUACACUCCCUGAGCCCUGGACGUCGUCACUUCCUGAAUGGUUUCCAUUGCUGCCUCACAAAGUCUGGCUGAGCACAUCUGGCUGUGUGGGCUGGGCACACAGUAGGCCUCAGUCACUCACGUGAUAAUGGUGUUCGGCCAGGGGAUCGGCCAUCCUGUGUCACAAAGUCCUGUCCCGCUGGGUCAGCCAGGUCAUUAGUGCUCAGGUUAGAAGAGUCUUCAUUCCAGUAGUCUCCUGCAUAGGUUCUUCGGGUGCCUGUACCCCUUUGGGUUAAGCUAUAAGUCAGCACUGAAAUGCUGCCCACGUCAUAACUCUGUCUGCUUCGUCCUCAGUUGCUCACGCAGUCCUCAGUCCUGAAUCAACCAGCCUUCUCUCCCCCAGUGUCGCUCCAUGGGGUAACAAGAAGUGAGGAUUUUAGCCCAUGGGUUCUCGCCCUAAAUAACAUCUGCCAAGACCUAAAACGUGAUCCAGAAGAAAAAAAUUCAUUAGGCAAAAUGAGAAGUUAACAGACAAAAUGACCCUGCCAUUGCUAGACUUCCUCUGUUGUUUUCUUUGUACCAUUUUCUUUCUUUCUUUCUUUUUCUUUUUCUUUUUUCCGAUGUUGGUUUAUAUCUGGUUGCAGAUCAAACCAGCAUCUCCUUCACAUGCAACGCCUCUAGUUUGGCUUCACUGAAUACCGCUCAGAAAAUGGGGUGGAUAAUUCAGUUUGUCAUGGUCAUUUCUGAGCCUCGCUCCCUCUCUCAUCUUGGAGACUGUUCUGUUUUUUCUAAAAACGAAAUGUUCUAUAUAAAUAUCACCCAAGCAGGUAUUUCUGCUUAAGCCAUUUGGUUACCAAAUGGUUUCAAUGAACUCAGGAUGGGGAGCUCCAAAUAAAACAUAUCUUCUCUAAUUUAAAAACAAAACCAAACUCAGCUACAAAGUCCUGAAGGACGAAUUCCGCUCUGCGAAAGAAAUAUUGGGACUUGUAAUUCCUCUAUUUCCCUGUCCCACCCAGAGAGUGACGUUUCGUGAUUUACUGCCAGCCGGGAUACUUUUAUAAAAACGUAGUACUGCUGUGUUUUCUCGUCCGGCCGAACAGGUCCUUCCCCAUCCCUGAGCCCCGCUGUGGCGCUCGUUGUCCGUAGUUUUGGUGUCGUGUGUGAUUUGCUGCAUGGCCGUGUGUUGGUCAGGUGAGCCGUGUGUAAACUGAUGUACCGCUGGUGUUUUAACACUGUGUCUCUGUAACUGUUUGCGCUGCUAGCUGCUACACUGAAGCAACCAUGCUGUUCUCAAGGCAGUCUACCCUUGAUGAUUUAGAUGGACCAGAAACUGUUCCUAAAACAAGUGAGCGUGCUCGACCUAGGCUUCGUAAAAUGUUCAGCACGGAUAUGUCCUCCUCAUCAGCUGACAGUGGCAGUUUAGCAUCGAGCGAGCCCACGCAGUGCACCAUGCUGUACUCGCGCCAGGGGACCACGGAAACCAUAGCGGAGGUGGAGGCCGAGCAGGAUGACGAGGCGGUGGCCAAAGACGCCGAUCAGGGAGGGGAGGAGGCCGCGGACUUGGGGCCGGAGGAGGCCUCGGAGGGCUCGGAGGCCGGCCUCACCCCAGAUGCCGAGCUGCCGCACUACUCCACCGAGGAUGGGGACGUGGAGGUGCCUCCCUCCUACAGCAAGGCGGUCAGCUUCGAGCGCCUGUCCUUCGGCUCGCGGGACGACUCUGCAGGCCAGAGCCGCAUGGCUGUGAGCCCUGACGAGAGCCGCUCAGACAGGCUCGAGUCCAGCAUCUUACCACCCCUGACUCACGAGCUGACGGCCAGCGAGCUGCUGCUAAAUAAGAUGUUCCAUGAUGACGAGCUGGAAGAGUCCGAAAAAUUCUACGUUGGCCAACCCCGGUUCUUGCUGUUGUUCUAUGCCAUGUACAACACUCUGGUGGCCCGCUCAGAAAUGGUGGGUUAUUUUGUGAUCAUCCUCAACCACAUGGUCUCUGCCUCCAUGAUCACCCUUGUGCUUCCCAUUCUGAUCUUCCUCUGGGCCAUGCUGUCUGUGCCCAGGCCCAGUAGACGAUUCUGGAUGAUGGCCAUUGUCUACACAGAGGUGGCAAUUGUGGUCAAGUAUUUCUUCCAAUUUGGCUUCUUUCCCUGGAACAAGAACGUGGAAUUGAACAAAGAUAAACCUUUCCACCCACCGAAUAUCAUAGGAGUGGAGAAGAAAGAAGGCUACGUCCUUUAUGAUCUCAUUCAGCUCUUGGCUCUUUUCUUCCAUCGGUCCAUUUUGAAGUGCCACGGCUUAUGGGAUGAAGAUGACAUCACCGACAGCGGCACAGACAAGGAAGAGUCGGAUGAUGAGCUGUCCCUCAGUCAUGGCAGGAGAGCCUCCUCUGAUUCUCUGAAAUCCAUCAACCUGGCCGCGUCAGCGGAGUCGGUGCACGUGUCCUUCCCGGAGCAGCCCACGGCCAUCCGGAGGAAGCAAUCGGGCAGUAGCUCCCAGAUAUCGCCCAGAUCCAGCUUUUCUUCCAAUAGGUCCAAAAGAGGCAGCACAAGCACCCGAAACAGCAGUCAAAAAGGAAGCAGUGUUUUGAGCAUCAAGCAGAAAAGUAAAAGGGAACUUUAUAUGGAAAAGCUUCAAGAACAUUUAAUCAAAGCAAAAGCAUUUACCAUAAAGAAGACUUUGCAAAUAUAUGUGCCCAUCAGACAGUUCUUCUACAACCUCAUCCAUCCAGACUACAGUGCUGUGACCGAUGUGUAUGUGCUCAUGUUCCUGGCUGACACUGUUGACUUUGUCAUCAUCGUCUUUGGCUUCUGGGCCUUUGGGAAACACUCAGCAGCAGCUGACAUCACCUCUUCGCUGUCAGAGGACCAGGUCCCUGGGCCUUUUUUGGUGAUGGUCCUAAUUCAGUUUGGAACCAUGGUCGUGGACCGAGCACUAUACCUCAGGAAGACCGUCCUGGGAAAGGUCAUUUUCCAGGUCAUUCUUGUGUUUGGAAUUCACUUCUGGAUGUUCUUCAUCUUGCCUGGUGUGACUGAGAGGAAAUUCAGCCAGAACCUGGUUGCUCAGCUUUGGUACUUUGUGAAAUGUGUUUACUUUGGGUUGUCUGCCUACCAAAUCCGUUGUGGCUACCCAACGCGAGUCCUUGGAAACUUCCUCACCAAGAGCUACAAUUAUGUCAACCUCUUCUUGUUUCAAGGGUUCCGCCUCGUUCCCUUUCUGACUGAGCUGAGGGCUGUGAUGGACUGGGUGUGGACAGACACGACCUUGAGCCUCUCCAGCUGGAUCUGUGUGGAGGACAUCUACGCUCACAUAUUCAUCCUGAAGUGUUGGCGGGAGUCUGAAAAAAGAUACCCGCAGCCCCGGGGGCAGAAGAAGAAGAAAGUGGUGAAGUAUGGCAUGGGAGGCAUGAUCAUCGUUCUGCUCAUCUGCAUUGUCUGGUUUCCCCUUCUCUUCAUGUCCUUGAUCAAAUCUGUGGCGGGGGUCAUCAACCAGCCCCUGGACGUCUCGGUCACAAUCACCCUGGGAGGGUACCAGCCUAUUUUCACAAUGAGUGCACAGCAGAGCCAGUUGAAAGUUAUGGAUCAGCCCAAGUUUAAUAAAUUUAUGAAAGCUUUUUCUAGGGACACUGGUGCUAUGCAAUUUCUGGAAAAUUAUGAAAAAGAAGACAUAACUGUAGCAGAACUGGAAGGAAACUCAAAUUCUUUGUGGACCAUCAGCCCUCCCAAAACAUGAGUUUGGGUGCAAAGGCAGAAAUUGCAACCGAUAAGCUUUCUUUUCCUCUUAAAAAUACCACACGAGAACAUAUAGCUAAAAUGAUAGCCGGCAACAACACGGAAAGUUCAAGAACACCGGUGACUAUAGAAAAGAUCUACCCAUAUUACGUGAAAGCACCUAGUGAUUCGAAUUCAAAACCUAUAAAGCAACUUUUGUCUG
RNA transcript from Felis catus (domestic cat), 5590 nucleotides. It is a transcript of the gene named piezo-type mechanosensitive ion channel component 2-like, with no coding region annotated. The transcript is spliced from 15 exons. Lineage: Eukaryota; Metazoa; Chordata; Mammalia; Carnivora; Felidae. The record is from RefSeq and is a predicted model, not a curated record.